Non-coding RNA from Xylaria nigripes, 108 nucleotides. The record is from the annotation of a GenBank genome assembly. NCBI's taxonomy places the organism in Eukaryota, Fungi, Ascomycota, Sordariomycetes, Xylariales, Xylariaceae.
GGCCAGGUGGCGGAGUGGUUAACGCGGUAGACUCGAAUUAGCUUGUACAUCAAGUUAGUCAGCCAUCUACUUCCUUCGGGAGCGUCUGUUCGAAUCAGGCCCUGGUCG